ACUCCUACGGGAGGCAGCAGUGGGGAAUAUUGCACAAUGGGCGCAAGCCUGAUGCAGCGACGCCGCGUGAGGGAUGACGGCCUUCGGGUUGUAAACCUCUUUCAGCAGGGAAGAAGCGGAAGUGACGGUACCUGCAGAAGAAGCACCGGCUAACUACGUGCCAGCAGCCGCGGUAAU
RNAcentral lists this ribosomal RNA (177 nucleotides) under uncultured bacterium. Its description in RNAcentral is "partial 16S ribosomal RNA". It matches the Rfam family "Bacterial small subunit ribosomal RNA", at positions 335 to 524 of the family's 1533-position model. The record is from RNAcentral.